GUGUCAGCAGCCGCGGUAAAACGUAGGACGCGAGCGUUAUCCGGAGUUACUGGGCGUAAAGCGCGGGCAGGCGGUCUGACAAGUCUGAUGUGAAAUCUCCGGGCUUAACCGGGAGAGGCCAUUGGAAACUGACAGGCUGGAGGGCAGUAGAGGUAGGCGGAAUUCCGGGUGGAGUGGUGAAAUGCGUAGAGAUCCGGAGGAACACCAGAGGCGAAGGCGGCCUACUGGGCUGCACCUGACGCUGAGCCGCGAAAGCCAGGGGAGCGAACGGGAUUAGAUACCCGCGUAGUCC
RNAcentral lists this ribosomal RNA (292 nucleotides) under uncultured bacterium. RNAcentral describes it as "partial 16S ribosomal RNA". It matches the Rfam family "Bacterial small subunit ribosomal RNA", at positions 505 to 796 of the family's 1533-position model. The record is from RNAcentral.